This is a non-coding RNA of Ictidomys tridecemlineatus (thirteen-lined ground squirrel), 71 nucleotides long. The record is from Rfam. NCBI's taxonomy places the organism in Eukaryota, Metazoa, Chordata, Mammalia, Rodentia, Sciuridae.
GGGGAUUUAGCUCACUGGUAGAGUACUUGCCUAGCAUGUGUGAGGCCCUGGGUUCAAUCCCCAAUACUCCA